This 253-nucleotide ribosomal RNA is filed under the name uncultured bacterium. RNAcentral describes it as "partial 16S ribosomal RNA". It matches the Rfam family "Bacterial small subunit ribosomal RNA", at positions 524 to 776 of the family's 1533-position model. The record is from RNAcentral.
UACGUAGGGGGCAAGCGUUAUCCGGAUUUACUGGGUGUAAAGGGAGCGUAGACGGCAGGGCAAGUCUGGAGUGAAAGGCAGGGGCCCAACCCUUGGACUGCUCUGGAAACUGUCCGGCUGGAGUGCAGGAGAGGUAAGUGGAAUUCCUAGUGUAGCGGUGAAAUGCGUAGAUAUUAGGAGGAACACCAGUGGCGAAGGCGGCUUACUGGACUGUAACUGACGUUGAGGCUCGAAAGCGUGGGGAGCGAACAGG